AUGAUAUCUUGCAGUUAAAAAUGGCAUCUUAUUGAGACUAUACCUGCAGAUUAGGAGGCAACUGAAAUGAUGGAUUUUGAAAACUUUAGAAAUGUUACAAUGUGAGGAAUUGUUGAUAAAGACCUUCGUCACUACCUCAACUUACGAUUUCAAAAGGGUUCUGUGGACCAUGAGCUUCAGCAAAUCAUUCGUGACAACCUCUACCUCCGCACGGUGCCAUUCAGAAGUGGAAAUGUGAUUACCAUGAAUUUUCUCAUCUAGCCUGAUGAAACCCCCAUUAUACAGAGUCCCGGGUGAACUAAAAUGUCAUGACCUGAAAGAAAUGAUCUCCAGGUAAGCAUACCCAAGUGAACAUUCAGACAAGAGUUAUUUUACAAGCUCAAGUUCUGCUUUAUAGGGCAAUAAUCAUGUGGAAUCAUUGCAACAAACUAAUAUCCUACAUGUGUAGCAGUAAUUGAUACCUAGGAUUUGAUUUCUUUAAGUCAUAGUAAAUUAUAUCAUCAACUAAUCUAAAAGGGAUGGUUUCUGAUAUUCUGGUAAAUUGAAAGAAGAAACAUUCUGUGUUUGUGGAUAAAAUAAUCUGAUUUCCUAGGAGAACAGCUAAGUAAAAAUGAAAAAAAAAAAAAAAUCUCUAGGCUAACAAAAUGUACAGAGAGACUGAGAUAUUUAUAAUGAUUAUACCCUCACUUAAAAUAGCCCAUCGUCUCUCCUACAUGCAAUCAUUCUUCCUCCUGUUCCACCUAAGACUAGCAAAAGGAACAUAAUUAACUGCCUCCAAGAAAUGUGCUACAACAAUUUUCCCAAAGUCACAAGAUCUUUCUGAAAUUUGAAAAAAAAAAAAAUUCUACCUUUUGACAUAACUUUUUAACAAGUUAAUCCUUUGUCUUUGUGACAUGCAUAUCCCUAUGUCAUUUAAUUGUAUUAAAUUAAUUUUAUUCUUUAUCAUGCAUUGAUAUGUUGUUAUUAAUAACAUUAAUUAGAUUUAUAUUAAUUAAUUAGAUUUAGAUUGAUUAAUAGGAAGAACUUGUUUUUAUACAUAUAUUUUAAAUUACAUGAUACAAAGUAAUAUUUUAUAUUAGUUAAUAUCCUAAUUUCAAUGACAGCUAAACAAUUGCUGUAGAAAAGAAGAUCCCUAACUGAUUUCUCUUUUUUAGCCACUAGUCUGAUUUUUAAGUUAUUCUAAUUAUAAAGGACAUCUCAAUCUAUACGAUUAUUUUCCUUGAUUAAAAGAAAUAAGCCAUUACUCCAGAAUCAAAGAACAGGCUGAAGACUUGAGAGACUGUAUGAUAUUCUGGUGCAAAAGCAGAAUGUUUUAAAAGAAAAGUAAAGAUACUUUGUUAUAGAAUAGAAAGUAAAGUCAUCAUAAGUUCUAGGGAAAGUCAUUUCAUUUCUGUUCCUAACCUGGUAACUACUCCUUGUAUAUCCCUAUCGUAUUUUUUAUCCUAACCCCUUUAUGUCAAAAGCGAUCAAGAAGAUAUUAAAAAUUAGUACAGACAUCUUUGUAUGUUGUUGCACCUGUGAAUAAUAUUUGUAUCAUUACAUUAUCCAUAGGAAGCAGGUGGCAAGUGUAUAUCUUCCUGUUGAACCCAGUGCUUCCAUCUCACAAAACCUCUCGCAAAGUAAAUAAUGCUGUCUGUACAAAAGGCUAUUCACAUAAAUUUGUAAAAAGAGUUUUAUUGCAUCACAAAAGAGGAAGCGACUUAAUUGGUUCACCAAAACGUUAAACCACGAGUUAAUGGUUUGAUAAAAUAAAACACAGCCAUUAAAAUUAUGGUUAUGAGAUGAUGUAGUAAUAUAAAAAGUGAAAAUGAUAUAAGCUAAGUUUCUAAAAGUGUGCUAUAAAAGUAUAUGUGCUGAAUGAUUAACAUUACAUUUAAAAUGUUUGUGAAAAAAUACAAGAAAAUCUGCAAAAUUCAAACCAUAAUGUUAACAGGAUUUAUAUUUAAAUCAUUUUAUUUGCCAAAAUAAGAAUAAUACAUUAUUACAGUACAGAAAAAAAAAUAAAAGACAAAGAAAGAGCGUAUACGCCCCUAUUAUAAAUGUAUUAGAAGGAAAGUAGGAGGGCUAAACUAAACAACCCCUCCCUCAAAUAAAACAUAUCCAACAGCAGUGGAAUUAUCAAACAAGCAAAAUUAGGAUUUUGGAGGCUGGGCCUCCUCCUUCAUUCCCCUCCCAAACAGACUCAUAAUCUCUGAGCUAAUGAGACACAUGCCUCUGUGGAACACAGUGCAGCAAACCAAAAUCAAAAAACCCUGACUUCGAAAAUCACCACAUUUUAUUAAUGUAAUAAAAACUCUGAUGCCCUGAUAAUUAAAAUAUUAGGAACCGAGCCAGGACCAGAAAUUAGGUCUCCUAGUUUUAAUCUAUUGUUCUUUAUCUGUACACCUAUUUCAUUAUAAAACAGGGCACACUUUUUUUAAGGAAAAAAAAGAAGCAGAAUAUAUAUGUGGAGUGUCUUGCAUUAAGCCAAGCUUUCAGGAGUUGUUGUUUGAGCAAUUUCUGCUCAAGUAUGGAGUUUCAGUUUUGUUACUUCACAUGCCAGGUUCCCUUUCUGAUCUCUAGGCCAGUGUCCCUUCCAGCUCUCCCAGUUUAGGCAUUGUUAGAACUUAGAACACCCAUAUUUUGAAAAUAUAAAAAAGGACCAAUAUGAAAUAAAUAAAUGAUACUCUAUUUUUUCUUUCAGAUCUCACGCAUUUUCUAUAAAGAUGUUUUGAGGACGUUUAUUUUUGCACAUUUUGACAGUUGGCUAAGUACCCUAAGACAAUACUAUUCCAAUUGAAAUAUCAGAGGAGUUCAUAUAAAAGCUUGCCAAAGAAAGUGCUUUCUCUAUAUUAAGUUGUUGGAGAGAAACUAGAUCAAGGUCUGUAAACUUUUCUUAAUGGAUAUGAUAGUAAAUAUUUCAGGCUUGUGGGCCAGACAUUCUCUGUUACAACUACUUAUUUCUGCCAGUAUAGUGAAAAAGCACACAUAGACAAUGUAAACUAAUAAGUGUGGCCAUGUUUCAGUAAAAUUGUUUUUUUUAAAGUAGGUGAAUAAUCCAUAGCUCAUAGUUUACAGACCCCUGAGUAAGAGGAUAAUAAGAAAACUUCCAAAGCUUGAGUGAGCAAGUGAAUAUACAUUCUAUGCCGAAAAAUACUUAAAGCUUAUAAAUAAUAAAUCAAAUAGGGUUUUCUAGGA
Molecule: long non-coding RNA, 3177 nt
Filed under: Rhinopithecus bieti (black snub-nosed monkey)
Lineage: Eukaryota; Metazoa; Chordata; Mammalia; Primates; Cercopithecidae
Description: lncRNA (ENSRBIG00000045214.1)
Source: RNAcentral